RNAcentral lists this transfer RNA (72 nucleotides) under Capra hircus (goat). It matches the Rfam family "tRNA". Rfam says of the family: Transfer RNA (tRNA) molecules are approximately 80 nucleotides in length. RNAcentral also lists the same sequence under 1 other name. Lineage: Eukaryota; Metazoa; Chordata; Mammalia; Artiodactyla; Bovidae. The record is from Rfam by way of RNAcentral.
UCCUUGGUUGCCUAGUGGUUAGGGUUGCACACUUUCACUGCCAUGGCCUAGGUUCAAUCCCUGGUCAAGGGA